AUGUUUUUACUCCCACAAUUUAUCCUCUGCUUGUGGCUAGUGUUUUUUCUCCUAGAUCCCUGCAGAAUGUUCAGGGACAUUUUAUUGACACUAAUGGAGAAGUCCAUUACGUUUGAUGGUACCACAGUGUUUCAGUCUCUGUGUACAAUGUUUUCCUGGUUCUGCUCCUCUCAUUCUGUAUCACUUCCUGGAGGUUGUUCCAGUCUCCAUGGAAUCACUCCACUUUAUUAUUCCUUUUUGCACAAUAGUAUUCCAUGCUCAUCAUUUCUUUUUUUUUUUUUUUUUUUUAUGUUUUUCAUUUUCUUUUGACAGUUGAUUCAUAUACCUCAUAACUCAGCCAUGUAUCACAGGGUGAUCCAGGUGUUGGUCAGCACUCUCCUCAAGGGGGAUUGUAUUAUGAUCCUAUAAUGCAAAGUUUUAAUUCUUUUGAGGGAAUUUUAGUAUAAGAAACUUGCUACCUCCAAGAAUCAAGAAAGUAAACAGUUUGGAGAAGGUGCCAUGGAGAAGCCUGCAGAAACCACACACUGCACCAAAAGAUCCAGAAUGAACUUUAGGAUGUAGUGAAAUUGAACUGUGGGGGGUUGAACGUAUUUAUUUUGAAUAUAAACUCUUAUGCCAAAGGGGACUGCCCCCAAUUGGCUUUUUGUCAGUGCUCCCACCAAUCAUUGGUUUUGCUCUCUUUCUCUUUUAUUUCCCCUCUUAUCCACAAAUUAUUGUAAUUUCCCCUUACAAAGUACAAUAUUGUAUGUACCUCUAGUUAAAGAUCUUUAGAGAUAUAAAUUGAUUAUGUGGACUGAUUCAUUAGGGAAACUAGGCAUAUAAAUCUGGGAGAUUUCUACAUGCUUGUUUCCCAACGGAAUCACAGGGGGAUUGUAUAAUUAGCAUUUUGAACCCCAGGACUCUCUCUCCCAGCAUUCCAUGUUCCUUCUCACAUUAUGUGCUAACAUAGGGAGGAUGUAAGUUUUGUGUAGCUCUGCUCUCGCACUCUUUUCUCCCCUAAAUGCGACUGUGGAGAUGCAGUGAAGUGAGAGACAGGAGAAUUUUACUCAGGUUUUACUUUUGUCCUUUUAUUUCUUCUACUUCAAGUGAUUAUUAAUAAAUCUUAUAAAAUAUAAUACUUGGAAUUAUCA
RNAcentral lists this long non-coding RNA (1130 nucleotides) under Monodelphis domestica (gray short-tailed opossum). Its description in RNAcentral is "lncRNA (ENSMODG00000049983.1)". The record is from RNAcentral. Lineage: Eukaryota; Metazoa; Chordata; Mammalia; Didelphimorphia; Didelphidae.